UACGAAGGGGGCUAGCGUUGCUCGGAAUCACUGGGCGUAAAGCGCACGUAGGCGGCUUUUUAAGUCAGGGGUGAAAUCCUGGAGCUCAACUCCAGAACUGCCUUUGAUACUGGAGAGCUUGAGUCCGGGAGAGGUGAGUGGAACUGCGAGUGUAGAGGUGAAAUUCGUAGAUAUUCGCAAGAACACCAGUGGCGAAGGCGGCUCACUGGCCCGGUACUGACGCUGAGGUGCGAAAGCGUGGGGAGCAAACAGG
RNAcentral lists this ribosomal RNA (253 nucleotides) under uncultured bacterium. RNAcentral's name for it is "partial 16S ribosomal RNA". It matches the Rfam family "Bacterial small subunit ribosomal RNA", at positions 524 to 776 of the family's 1533-position model. The record is from RNAcentral.